RNAcentral lists this ribosomal RNA (632 nucleotides) under uncultured bacterium. RNAcentral's name for it is "bacterial SSU rRNA". It matches the Rfam family "Bacterial small subunit ribosomal RNA", at positions 8 to 628 of the family's 1533-position model. The record is from RNAcentral.
AGAGUUUGAUCAUGGCUCAGGACGAACGCUGACGGUGUGCUUUAACAUGCAAGUCGAACGAGAAAGCCCUUCGGGGUUAGUAAAGUGGCGAACGGGUGCGUAACACGUGGGUAAUCUACCCCUCGCAGAGGGACAACCGGGGGAAACCCCGGCUAAUACCUCGUACGCUUGCCGGGCCGCAUGGUCCGGUAAGGAAAGGUAGCUUCGGCCAUCCGGCGAGGGAUGAGCCCGCGGUACAUUAGCUAGUUGGUGAGGUAACGGCUCACCAAGGCUACGAUGUAUAGCUGGUCUGAGAGGAUGAUCAGCCACACUGGGACUGAGACACGGCCCAGACUCCUACGGGAGGCAGCAGUCGGGAAUCUUGCACAAUGGGCGAAAGCCUGAUGCAGCAACACCGCGUGAGCGAGGAAGGCCUUCGGGUCGUAAAGCUCUGUUGUUGGGGACGAAGGGCGAAGGGUUAAUAGCCCCUAGCCUGACGGUACCCUUCGAGGAAGCCCCGGCUAACUACGUGCCAGCAGCCGCGGUAAUACGUAGGGGGCGAGCGUUGUCCGGAAUUAUUGGGCGUAAAGAGCGUGUAGGCGGCCUGGUAAGUCUGCCGUGAAACCUUGGGGCUCAACCCCAAGCGUGCGGUG